GUGGGGAAUAUUGGACAAUGGGCGAAAGCCUGAUCCAGCCAUGCCGCGUGUGUGAAGAAGGUCUUCGGAUUGUAAAGCACUUUAAGUUGGGAGGAAGGGCAGUAAGUUAAUACCUUGCUGUUUUGACGUUACCGACAGAAUAAGCACCGGCUAACUUCGUGCCAGCAGCCGCGGUAAUACGAAGGGGGCGAGCGUUAUUCGGAAUCACUGGGCGUAAAGCGUGCGUAGGCGGUCUCGUAAGUUAGGAGUGAAAGCCCAGGGCUCAACCUUGGAAUUGCUCUUAAUACUGCAAGGCUAGAAUCUCGGAGAGGAUAGCGGAAUUUCCAGUGUAGCAGUGAAAUGCGUAGAUAUUGGAAGGAACACCAGUGGCGUAAGCGGCUAUCUGGACGAGUAUUGACGCUGAGGCACGAAAGCGUGUGGAUCAAACAGGAUUAGAAACCCUGGUAGUCC
RNAcentral lists this ribosomal RNA (450 nucleotides) under uncultured bacterium. Its description in RNAcentral is "partial 16S ribosomal RNA". It matches the Rfam family "Bacterial small subunit ribosomal RNA", at positions 354 to 796 of the family's 1533-position model. The record is from RNAcentral.